RNAcentral lists this ribosomal RNA (249 nucleotides) under uncultured bacterium. RNAcentral's name for it is "partial 16S ribosomal RNA". It matches the Rfam family "Bacterial small subunit ribosomal RNA", at positions 796 to 1041 of the family's 1533-position model. The record is from RNAcentral.
CAUGCUGUAAACGAUGAGUGCUGGGUGUUGCGGGUAUUGACCCCCGCGGUGCCGAAGUCAACACGUUAAGCACUCCGCCUGGGAAGUACGGCCGCAAGGCUAAAACUCAAAGGAAUUGACGGGGGCCCGCACAAGCGGUGGAGCAUGUGGUUUAAUUCGACGCAACGCGCAGAACCUUACCCGGGCUCGAAAGUGCUGGAACUCUGCCGAAAGGUGGGGGUGCCCGCAAGGGAACCAGUAUCCAGGUGC